UCACCCAAGUAGCACGGGGCCCGUGAAAUCCCGUGUGAAUCUGGCGGGACC
RNAcentral lists this ribosomal RNA (51 nucleotides) under bacterium LRH843. Its description in RNAcentral is "partial 23S ribosomal RNA". The record is from RNAcentral.